This 293-nucleotide ribosomal RNA is filed under the name Garymunida procera. Its description in RNAcentral is "Agononida procera partial 28S ribosomal RNA". It matches the Rfam family "Eukaryotic large subunit ribosomal RNA", at positions 68 to 333 of the family's 3401-position model. Lineage: Eukaryota; Metazoa; Arthropoda; Malacostraca; Decapoda; Munididae. The record is from RNAcentral.
CACGGGAUUCCCUUAGUAAGUGCGACUGAACAGGGAUGAGCCCAGCGCAUAACUUCGUUGUAUUGUAAAAUAUUUCGAGGGGUGUUGCGUUUCAGAGGGUCCAGCACACCACUGCCACCGCCUAAGUUUCCGCUUGAACGCGUCUUUACCAUGGAGGGUGACAGUCCCGUAUGGCGGCUCCCGUGAGGGUUUGGAUUUGUGGUGGAAAGGACCUCUCUGUAGAGUCGGGUUGCCUAAUAUCGCAACCUAAAGUAGGUGGUAAACUCCAUCUAAGGCUAAAUAUGACCACGAGA